AAAGUGGUCCUUUUUAGGACCACUUUUUAUUAAUGUCUAAUAAAUU
Poecilia formosa (Amazon molly) is the source of this 46-nucleotide non-coding RNA. The record is from Rfam. NCBI's taxonomy places the organism in Eukaryota, Metazoa, Chordata, Actinopteri, Cyprinodontiformes, Poeciliidae.